Molecule: transfer RNA, 86 nt
Filed under: Alphaproteobacteria bacterium MarineAlpha8_Bin1
Lineage: Bacteria; Pseudomonadati; Pseudomonadota; Alphaproteobacteria
Also listed under: 1 other name
Description: tRNA-Tyr
Rfam family: tRNA
About the family: Transfer RNA (tRNA) molecules are approximately 80 nucleotides in length.
Source: RNAcentral
GGAGGGAUGGUCGAGUGGUUAAAGGCAUCAGACUGUAAAUCUGACGACGCGAGUCUACGUAGGUUCGAAUCCUACUCCCUCCACCA